Molecule: ribosomal RNA, 1435 nt
Filed under: Lactiplantibacillus plantarum
Lineage: Bacteria; Bacillati; Bacillota; Bacilli; Lactobacillales; Lactobacillaceae
Description: bacterial SSU rRNA
Rfam family: Bacterial small subunit ribosomal RNA
Source: RNAcentral
GACGAACGCUGGCGGCGUGCCUAAUACAUGCAAGUCGAACGAACUCUGGUAUUGAUUGGUGCUUGCAUCAUGAUUUACAUUUGAGUGAGUGGCGAACUGGUGAGUAACACGUGGGAAACCUGCCCAGAAGCGGGGGAUAACACCUGGAAACAGAUGCUAAUACCGCAUAACAACUUGGACCGCAUGGUCCGAGUUUGAAAGAUGGCUUCGGCUAUCACUUUUGGAUGGUCCCGCGGCGUAUUAGCUAGAUGGUGGGGUAACGGCUCACCAUGGCAAUGAUACGUAGCCGACCUGAGAGGGUAAUCGGCCACAUUGGGACUGAGACACGGCCCAAACUCCUACGGGAGGCAGCAGUAGGGAAUCUUCCACAAUGGACGAAAGUCUGAUGGAGCAACGCCGCGUGAGUGAAGAAGGGUUUCGGCUCGUAAAACUCUGUUGUUAAAGAAGAACAUAUCUGAGAGUAACUGUUCAGGUAUUGACGGUAUUUAACCAGAAAGCCACGGCUAACUACGUGCCAGCAGCCGCGGUAAUACGUAGGUGGCAAGCGUUGUCCGGAUUUAUUGGGCGUAAAGCGAGCGCAGGCGGUUUUUUAAGUCUGAUGUGAAAGCCUUCGGCUCAACCGAAGAAGUGCAUCGGAAACUGGGAAACUUGAGUGCAGAAGAGGACAGUGGAACUCCAUGUGUAGCGGUGAAAUGCGUAGAUAUAUGGAAGAACACCAGUGGCGAAGGCGGCUGUCUGGUCUGUAACUGACGCUGAGGCUCGAAAGUAUGGGUAGCAAACAGGAUUAGAUACCCUGGUAGUCCAUACCGUAAACGAUGAAUGCUAAGUGUUGGAGGGUUUCCGCCCUUCAGUGCUGCAGCUAACGCAUUAAGCAUUCCGCCUGGGGAGUACGGCCGCAAGGCUGAAACUCAAAGGAAUUGACGGGGGCCCGCACAAGCGGUGGAGCAUGUGGUUUAAUUCGAAGCUACGCGAAGAACCUUACCAGGUCUUGACAUACUAUGCAAAUCUAAGAGAUUAGACGUUCCCUUCGGGGACAUGGAUACAGGUGGUGCAUGGUUGUCGUCAGCUCGUGUCGUGAGAUGUUGGGUUAAGUCCCGCAACGAGCGCAACCCUUAUUAUCAGUUGCCAGCAUUAAGUUGGGCACUCUGGUGAGACUGCCGGUGACAAACCGGAGGAAGGUGGGGAUGACGUCAAAUCAUCAUGCCCCUUAUGACCUGGGCUACACACGUGCUACAAUGGAUGGUACAACGAGUUGCGAACUCGCGAGAGUAAGCUAAUCUCUUAAAGCCAUUCUCAGUUCGGAUUGUAGGCUGCAACUCGCCUACAUGAAGUCGGAAUCGCUAGUAAUCGCGGAUCAGCAUGCCGCGGGUGAAUACGUUCCCGGGCCUUGUACACACCGCCCGUCACACCAUGAGAGUUUGUAACACCCAAAGUC